UACGUAGGGGGCGAGCGUUGUCCGGAAUCAUUGGGCGUAAAGAGCGUGUAGGCGGUUUGGUAGGUCCGCUGUGAAAACUCGAGGCUCAACCUCGAGACGCCGGUGGAAACCAUCAGACUAGAGUCCGGAAGAGGAGAGUGGAAUUCCUGGUGUAGCGGUGAAAUGCGCAGAUAUCAGGAAGAACACCCGUGGCUAAGGCGGCUCUCUAGUACGGUACUGACGCUGAGACGCGAAAGCGUGGGGAGCGAACAGG
This 253-nucleotide ribosomal RNA is filed under the name uncultured bacterium. Its description in RNAcentral is "partial 16S ribosomal RNA". It matches the Rfam family "Bacterial small subunit ribosomal RNA", at positions 524 to 776 of the family's 1533-position model. The record is from RNAcentral.